Molecule: non-coding RNA, 915 nt
Filed under: Plethodon elongatus (Del Norte salamander)
Lineage: Eukaryota; Metazoa; Chordata; Amphibia; Caudata; Plethodontidae
Source: RNAcentral
UUAAAGGUUUGGUCCCAGCCUUAGUAUUAAUUUUAAUUAUAAUUAUACAUGCAAGCUUCAACCACCCCGUGAGAAUGCCCACUACUUCUACCUAGAUGUAGGGGGAGCCGGUAUCAGGCAAUAUAGCCCACAACACCUUGCUAAGCCACACCUAUACAGGAAUUCAGCAGUAAUAAACAUUGAACAAUGAGCGACAGCCCGAUUCAGCAAUAAUUAAAUAAGGCCGGUAAAUCUCGUGCCAGCCACCGCGGUUAUACGAAAGACCUAAAUUAAUACAUGCGGCCCAAAGGGUAGUUAAAGAUAAUUAAAAUUGAAUUAAAAGCUCACCCAGCCGUUAUACGCAAAGCAAGCCACAGACUCAACAACGAAAGCGAUUCUAUAAAUACUUGAAUCUACUACAACCGAGAAACAAACUAGGAUUAGAUACCCUACUAUGCUCGAUCAUAAACUUAGACACCCCGCCAGAGAACUACGAGCUACAGCUUAAAACUCAAAGGACUUGGCGGUGCUCCACACCCACCUAGAGGAGCCUGUUCUAUAAUCGAUAUUCCCCGAUAAACCUCACCACCUUUUGCCAAUACAGCCUAUAUACCACCGUCCCAGCUUACCCCUCAAAAGAAUAAUAGUGAGCAAAAUAAUUUAAAAUAAAAAAGUCAGGUCAAGGUGUAGCAUAUAAGGUGGAAAGAAAUGGGCUACAUUUUCCUUACGAAAAUACGAAAUAUUUAAUGAAACUUAAAUAUGAAGGAGGAUUUAGAAGUAAAGAGGAAAAAGAGUGUUCUCUUUAAAUCGGCAAUAGAGCACGCACACACCGCCCGUCACCCUCUCCAAGAACAUAAUCAAUUAAAUAAAUAUAUAAUUAAAUAAGAAGAGGAAAGUCGUAACAUGGUAAGCCUACCGGAAGGUGGUCUUGGAUAU